AGGACGAACGCUGGCGGCGUGCUUAACACAUGCAAGUCGAGCGGAAAGGCCUCUUCGGGGGUACUCGAGCGGCGAACGGGUGAGUAACACGUGAGUAACCUGCCCUGGACUUUGGGAUAACCCUCGGAAACGGGGGCUAAUACCGGAUAUGACGUGCCGCCGCAUGGUGGUGGGUGGAAAGUAUUUUUUGGUCUGGGAUGGGCUCGCGGCCUAUCAGCUUGUUGGUAGGGUGAUGGCCUACCAAGGCGACGACGGGUAGCCGG
RNAcentral lists this ribosomal RNA (263 nucleotides) under uncultured bacterium. RNAcentral's name for it is "partial small subunit ribosomal RNA". It matches the Rfam family "Bacterial small subunit ribosomal RNA", at positions 26 to 290 of the family's 1533-position model. The record is from RNAcentral.